This 573-nucleotide long non-coding RNA is filed under the name Lathyrus oleraceus (garden pea). RNAcentral's name for it is "Pisum sativum (pea) long non-coding RNA (PSAT_LNC002380)". Lineage: Eukaryota; Viridiplantae; Streptophyta; Magnoliopsida; Fabales; Fabaceae. The record is from RNAcentral.
CAAAUUUCAUUCAUACAUUGAUUAUCCAAGGCCGAUAUAUACAAAGAAUUCCAAGUUUGAUUAUCCAAGGCCGAUAUAUACAAAGAAUUCCAAGUUUGACUAGUGUUACAAACAGUUGACUUCCGGCCAACUCAUCGACCCAACUCAAUGAACCUACAUUGGUCAACAUAAAUCUAAUCCAUCUUGUUCCAUGUCUACUUCCUCCAAGCCUAAUUUCUUCAAAGAAAAAAAACAUUUAUACUUGUUAAUACGAUAACUACAAAGUCGGCCAAGGCAUGUUUACCCACAAUGUUCAUGCUCAUACCAUACCCUUUCAUGUUUACUCCAAAUAUUCCAAACAGAUUCAAGCAUAUAGAAAUACACAUGAUUAGAGAAUUCAUACAUGCAUGUCCAUAUGUCACAAUUCCAUCUCAUAAUCAUACUUAUUACAAACAUGACUUACAACCAUUUACAAAGAUUCAAAAGGCUAGGACAGUUACAACCAUUUACAAAGAUUCAAAAGGAAAGUCCUAGCCUAUGAUCCAAGGACGUGAGUACAUGUCAGGAGCAAAUGUUCAAGCUUGAAACAGCAAG